RNAcentral lists this ribosomal RNA (216 nucleotides) under uncultured bacterium. RNAcentral's name for it is "partial 16S ribosomal RNA". It matches the Rfam family "Bacterial small subunit ribosomal RNA", at positions 1285 to 1500 of the family's 1533-position model. The record is from RNAcentral.
AUCCCAGUUCGGAUCGCAGGCUGCAACCCGCCUGCGUGAAGUUGGAAUCGCUGGUAAUCGCGGAUCAGCAUGCCGCGGUGAAUACGUUCCCGGGCCUUGUACACACCGCCCGUCACACCAUGAGAGUCGGGAACACCCGAAGUCCGUAGCCUAACCGCAAGGGGGGCGCGGUCGAAGGUGGGUUCGAUAAUUGGGGUGAAGUCGUAACAAGGUAGC